RNAcentral lists this ribosomal RNA (372 nucleotides) under uncultured organism. RNAcentral's name for it is "bacterial SSU rRNA". It matches the Rfam family "Bacterial small subunit ribosomal RNA", at positions 526 to 896 of the family's 1533-position model. The record is from RNAcentral.
CAGAGGGUGCAAGCGUUGUUCGGAAUUAUUGGGCGUAAAGGGCGCGUAGGCGGCGGAGCAAGUCAGAUGUGAAAUCCCUGGGCUCAACCCAGGAAGUGCAUCUGAUACUGCUUUGCUUGAAUCCCGGAGAGGGUGGUGGAAUUCCUGGUGUAGAGGUGAAAUUCGUAGAUAUCAGGAGGAACACCGGUGGCGAAGGCGACCACCUGGACGGAGAUUGACGCUGAGGCGCGAAAGCGUGGGGAGCAAACAGGAUUAGAUACCCUGGUAGUCCACGCUGUAAACGAUGGGUACUAGGUGUUGUGGGUAUUGACCCCUACAGUGCCGACGCUAACGCAUUAAGUACCCCGCCUGGGAAGUACGGCCGCAAGGCUA